UGUGUUUCGUAUAGUAACUAC
Molecule: non-coding RNA, 21 nt
Filed under: Caenorhabditis elegans
Lineage: Eukaryota; Metazoa; Nematoda; Chromadorea; Rhabditida; Rhabditidae
Source: RNAcentral